This 73-nucleotide transfer RNA is filed under the name Providencia phage vB_PreS_PR1. It matches the Rfam family "tRNA". From Rfam's summary of the family: Transfer RNA (tRNA) molecules are approximately 80 nucleotides in length. Their secondary structure includes four short double-helical elements and three loops (D, anti-codon, and T loops). Further hydrogen bonds mediate the characteristic L-shaped molecular structure. tRNAs have two regions of fundamental functional importance: the anti-codon, which is responsible for specific mRNA codon recognition, and the 3' end, to which the tRNAs corresponding amino acid is attached (by aminoacyl-tRNA synthetases). tRNAs cope with the degeneracy of the genetic code in two manners: having more than one tRNA (with a specific anti-codon) for a particular amino acid; and 'wobble' base-pairing, i.e. permitting non-standard base-pairing at the 3rd anti-codon position. The record is from Rfam by way of RNAcentral. Lineage: Duplodnaviria; Heunggongvirae; Uroviricota; Caudoviricetes; Demerecviridae.
GCGUCGUUAGCUCAAUUGGCAGAGCAAGGGAUUUUUAAUCCCGAGGUUGUAGGUUCGACUCCUAUACGGCGUA